UCAUCUGCUGUAGGUUCCGAGUCAUCAUGAACACGCUGAUAAACAUUGUGCCAACCAUGCUGACGUUUGGAGGGCUGACUCUGGUAAGAAAACCUGGUAUCUUAGUUCAAAGCAUUCAGUUUAGCAGGAACGUGUUAAGUCUCACACACAUCUGGUUUUCAAGAGAAGGAAUGCAGGUGUUUGGAUGUUGAGUCACUGAAAAUCAGUGUACAUUUGGUUCUUAGUUAUGGCGCAUCUUCGCGUGUGCAAAGUGCUUGGGUUACUGCUAGUUGACAGGUCAGAAAUUGCCAGGACAUCAUGGCCUCAAUGGGACAGCAAAGAUGUUCUGUGCAGUCUAGGCUUUGGAUACUACAGGGAAUCAAGUUAUGGUUUGGGCAGGAAGCUGAAUGAGAACACUUAUUUUCUGAAAUUACUUUUUAAAAAUAGGUUUUCCUCUUAGGAUUUGAUAAUGUUUCAUUUCUGUAUAUUUGGUUUGCAGUCCUGGGCAGGAAUAAGUCAAGUAGUUGUUUUUGAAGGGGCUGAAUCACUUAGACUAUGCUACUCUUCCACAGACUGCUGUAUCAGUAAGAAGUCUGCUGGAGCUUUUAAACCUGUCACAGGGGUUUCUGCUCAGUGGAGAAGCCUGUAAUGGUGUUUCUCUUCCCAGGUUGUGUACUGUAUAUUUGCUAUAAUUGGUAUGGAGUUAUUCCAUGGGAAAAUCCAGUUCUUCCCUGCAAACUCAAAUGCUCCUUAUGCCUUGGAAUGUGGAAACCCGGCUCUCAAGGAUUCUUUGUUUGCCCGUGGAAAAUACUGCAAGAACAACUUCAACAACUUUGCAUCUUCCUUCAUUGUUCUGAUGGAGCUUACUGUAGUCAACCAGUGGCACGUCUUUGCCAAUGGAUUUGCCAACGUGACUGCAAAGCCUGCAAAGCUUUAUUUCAUUGCCUUCCACAUUGUGAUGGUUAUAAUUAUUGUCAAGUAAGUUUUUAGCUUUCUCUUUUGGCUUUCUCUUAUCCUUGGUGGAGUGAAGAGGGGCUGUGACCCUUGCCAGGGCAGUGUUUAUGAUCCCAAGAUUGUGUACGGUGUGCUGCUGACAUGUGUCCUGCCCCUCUCUUUGAAGAACC
This 1103-nucleotide long non-coding RNA is filed under the name Chrysolophus pictus (golden pheasant). Its description in RNAcentral is "lncRNA (ENSCPIG00010010498.1)". Lineage: Eukaryota; Metazoa; Chordata; Aves; Galliformes; Phasianidae. The record is from RNAcentral.